GAGGGAAAAGCCCAAGAUUGAAAGCUGGCGCCUUCGGCGUCCGCAUUGUAAUCUCAAGAAGUGUUUUCCGCUUCGGACCAAGCCUAAGUUUCCUGGAAAGGAGCAUCGUAGAGGGUGAAAAUCCCGUACAUGGUUUGGAGCGCCCGAAGCUUUGUGAUACAUUUUCUAAGAGUCGAGUUGUUUGGGAAUGCAGCUCAAAAUGGGUGGUAAAUGCCAUCUAAGGCUAAAUAUUGGGGAGAGACCGAUAGCGAACAAGUACAGUGAUGGAAAGAUGAAAAGAACUUUGAAAAGAGAGUUAAACAGUACGUGAAAUUGCCAAAAGGGAAGGGUAGGAGGUCAGAGAUGCGACUUGGGAUUCAGCCUUGCCUUUUUGCUUGGUGUAUUUCCCAAGUCGCAGGCCAACGUCGGUUUUGGGCACUGGAGAAGGGUAAGAGGAAUGUGGCACUCUUCGGAGUGUGUUAUAGCCUCUUACUGGAUGCAGCGACCGAGACCGAGGAAUGCAGCGUACUCGUAAGAGCGGGCCUUCGGGCACCUU
Molecule: ribosomal RNA, 535 nt
Filed under: Tranzscheliella sp.
Lineage: Eukaryota; Fungi; Basidiomycota; Ustilaginomycetes; Ustilaginales; Ustilaginaceae
Description: partial large subunit ribosomal RNA
Rfam family: Eukaryotic large subunit ribosomal RNA
Source: RNAcentral